ACGGCUAUCAUUGUAUGGUAGAAAUACCUGUAUUCGUACAGAGUGUACGUCGGUUCGAAUCCGACUAGCUGUA
The sequence is a transfer RNA, 73 nucleotides long. It matches the Rfam family "tRNA". From Rfam's summary of the family: Transfer RNA (tRNA) molecules are approximately 80 nucleotides in length. Their secondary structure includes four short double-helical elements and three loops (D, anti-codon, and T loops).